RNAcentral lists this ribosomal RNA (501 nucleotides) under uncultured bacterium. Its description in RNAcentral is "bacterial SSU rRNA". It matches the Rfam family "Bacterial small subunit ribosomal RNA", at positions 28 to 526 of the family's 1533-position model. The record is from RNAcentral.
GACGAACGCUGGCGGCGUGCCUAAUACAUGCAAGUCGAGCGGACCCUUCGGGGUUAGCGGCGGACGGGUGAGUAACACGUAGGCAACCUGCCUGUAAGACUGGGAUAACUUCCGGAAACGGAUGCUAAUACCAGAUAAGCGGUUUUCUCGCAUGGGAGAGCCUGGAAAGACGGAGCAAUCUGUCACUUACAGAUGGGCCUGCGGCGCAUUAGCUAGUUGGUGGGGUAACGGCUCACCAAGGCGACGAUGCGUAGCCGACCUGAGAGGGUGAUCGGCCACACUGGGACUGAGACACGGCCCAGACUCCUACGGGAGGCAGCAGUAGGGAAUCUUCCGCAAUGGACGAAAGUCUGACGGAGCAACGCCGCGUGAGUGAGGAAGGCCUUCGGGUCGUAAAGCUCUGUUGCCAGGGAAGAACGUCGAGGAGAGUAACUGCUCUUCGAAUGACGGUACCUGAGAAGAAAGCCCCGGCUAACUACGUGCCAGCCGCCGCCGUAACAC